RNAcentral lists this transfer RNA (89 nucleotides) under Bacillota bacterium. RNAcentral's name for it is "tRNA-Leu". It matches the Rfam family "tRNA". Rfam says of the family: Transfer RNA (tRNA) molecules are approximately 80 nucleotides in length. Lineage: Bacteria; Bacillati; Bacillota. The record is from RNAcentral.
GCCGGAGUGGCGGAAUUGGUAGACGCACGGGACUUAAAAUCCCGCGGGCAGCAAUGUUCAUGCCGGUUCGACCCCGGCCUCCGGCACCA